This is a long non-coding RNA of Suricata suricatta (meerkat), 999 nucleotides long. RefSeq lists it as uncharacterized. The record is from RefSeq and is a predicted model, not a curated record. Lineage: Eukaryota; Metazoa; Chordata; Mammalia; Carnivora; Herpestidae. The transcript has 3 exons.
GCGCCCCACAGCCCGGCCCCUGUGUCCCUGGAGGGCGGAGGACACAGAGGGUCCUCCAUCCUUCCCCCAAGUAGUCCUUCGCGGACUGACCCCAGUCCUUCAGGAUCCCUCCUCUGAGUUUCUGAGUCCUGAGGUCCCCUCUCACUCCCCCUCCUGCCUUCCAGCCCUCAGAGGCCCUAACCUGCCGGGUCACUAGGUACGUCCGGAGCUGUCUGCUCCCACUGGCCCCUGCCUGAGGCUGUAGGGUUGGAGUGGAAAGAAUGUGACACCUUGGACAUCUGGGCUCCCUCCUGGCCUCGGGGAGGCCGAGGUCACAUUUUGAACAAGUCUGGGGGCAGAGGUGGAGAAGGUCUGCUUUGCCGUGGCUCCGAACUCACUGUUCCGGGCAGGGCGGACUCCUCGUCCGGAAGACCUGGCGGUGUCUGACGGGCGGCUCUCGUGGCCCGCCUCCCUCGGCCGUGAAGUUGCCUGUGCUCCGGGGCCUGUACUGGGUGGGCCCCCUGAGCCUCCCCCUCCUCUUCUCCAGGUGAAGGCCUGCUGGCCUUCUGAGGCGGGCCAGGCCUCACCCGCUCUGGGGAGAGUGGCUUGUCCCCGGCUGGCCUCGGGCAGCGGCUCUGCGUGUUGUCGCUUCACCCUCGAGGGGGCUGACGGAGGGCUUGCCGGGGCCUUUGGUCCUGUGCAGGUCACUGUUGUCCCCUGUCUGUCCCCAUCCCAACACCGGAAGUGUCCGAGGUGGCCCGCAGUCCCACUAGGCCCUUCAGGCCUGGUAGAAGGUGUGCAGGAGUGUGGCUGGAGAGUCACGACUUCCAGAGCGAGGAGCGUGACCGUAUUUCAGAUCAGCACGGAGCACAGUGGAAUGUUCUUCCAGGCUAAGCAGGGACCUAAUUUCAGCUAGAAAAAAAAAUCGAGUGAACUGCCUGGAAGAUGGUCUCCGAGAAUUCCCGACUUCUGGCAGCCACUUAAAAAGGGGCAGAAAAAAGGGAAGUUCUAAAUAAAGGA